RNAcentral lists this ribosomal RNA (497 nucleotides) under uncultured bacterium. Its description in RNAcentral is "partial 16S ribosomal RNA". It matches the Rfam family "Bacterial small subunit ribosomal RNA", at positions 28 to 507 of the family's 1533-position model. The record is from RNAcentral.
GAUGAACGCUGGCGGCGUGCCUAAUACAUGCAAGUCGAGCGAACGGACGAGAAGCUUGCUUCUCUGAUGUUAGCGGCGGACGGGUGAGUAACACGUGGAUAACCUACCUAUAAGACUGGGAUAACUUCGGGAAACCGGAGCUAAUACCGGAUGAUAUUUUGAACCGCAAGGUUCAAAAGUGAAAGACGGUCUUGCUGUCACUUAUAGAUGGAUCCGCGCUGCAUUAGCUAGUUGGUAAGGUAACGGCUUACCAAGGCAACGAUGCAUAGCCGACCUGAGAGGGUGAUCGGCCACACUGGAACUGAGACACGGUCCAGACUCCUACGGGAGGCAGCAGUAGGGAAUCUUCCGCAAAGGGCGAAAGCCUGACGGAGCAACGCCGCGUGAGUGAUGAAGGUCUUCGGAUCGUAAAACUCUGUUAUUAGGGAAGAACAUAUGUGUAAGUAACUGUGCACAUCUUGACGGUACCUAAUCAGAAAGCCACGGCUAACUACGUG